GUCCACGCCCUAAACGAUGUCGACUAGUUGUUCGGAGAGGUAACUUUCUGAGUAACGCAGCUAACGCGUGAAGUCGACCGCCUGGGGAGUACGGCCGCAAGGUUAAAACUCAAAGGAAUUGACGGGGACCCGCACAAGCGGUGGAUGAUGUGGAUUAAUUCGAUGCAACGCGAAAAACCUUACCUACCCUUGACAUGCCUGGAACCUGCGAGAGAUCGCGGGGUGCCUUCGGGAGCCAGGACACAGGUGCUGCAUGGCUGUCGU
This 264-nucleotide ribosomal RNA is filed under the name uncultured bacterium. RNAcentral's name for it is "partial 16S ribosomal RNA". It matches the Rfam family "Bacterial small subunit ribosomal RNA", at positions 793 to 1055 of the family's 1533-position model. The record is from RNAcentral.